GUGGGGAAUAUUGGACAAUGGGCGAAAGCCUGAUCCAGCCAUGCCGCGUGUGUGAAGAAGGUCUUCGGAUUGUAAAGCACUUUAAGUUGGGAGGAAGGGCAGUAAGUUAAUACCUUGCUGUUUUGACGUUACCAACAGAAUAAGCACCGGCUAACUUCGUGCCAGCAGCCGCGGUAAUACGAAGGGGGCGAGCGUUAUUCGGAAUCACUGGGCGUAAAGCGUGCGUAGGCGGUUUUGUAAGUUAGGAGUGAAAGCCCAGGGCUCAACCUUGGAAUUGCUCUUAAAACUGCAAGGCUCGAAUCUCGGAGAGGAUAGCGGAAUUUCCAGUGUAGCAGUGAAAUGCGUAGAUAUUGGAAGGAACACCAGUGGCGUAAGCGGCUAUCUGGACGAGUAUUGACGCUGAGGCACGAAAGCGUGGGGAUCAAACAGGAUUAGAAACCCGUGUAGUCC
RNAcentral lists this ribosomal RNA (450 nucleotides) under uncultured bacterium. Its description in RNAcentral is "partial 16S ribosomal RNA". It matches the Rfam family "Bacterial small subunit ribosomal RNA", at positions 354 to 796 of the family's 1533-position model. The record is from RNAcentral.